RNAcentral lists this ribosomal RNA (492 nucleotides) under uncultured bacterium. RNAcentral's name for it is "partial 16S ribosomal RNA". It matches the Rfam family "Bacterial small subunit ribosomal RNA", at positions 29 to 507 of the family's 1533-position model. The record is from RNAcentral.
AGUGAACGCUGGCGGUAGGCCUAACACAUGCAAGUCGAACGGCAGCACAGUAAGAGCUUGCUCUUACGGGUGGCGAGUGGCGGACGGGUGAGGAAUACAUCGGAAUCUACUUUUUCGUGGGGGAUAACGUAGGGAAACUUACGCUAAUACCGCAUACGACCUACGGGUGAAAGCAGGGGAUCUUCGGACCUUGCGUGAUUGAAUGAGACGAUGUCGGAUUAGCUAGUUGGCGGGGUAAAGGCCCACCAAGGCGACGAUCCGUAGCUGGUCUGAGAGGAUGAUCAGCCACACUGGAACUGAGACACGGUCCAGACUCCUACGGGAGGCAGCAGUGGGGAAUAUUGGGCAAUGGGCGCAAGCCUGAUCCAGCCAUACCGCGUGGGUGAAGAAGGCCUUCGGGUUGUAAAGCCCUUUUGUUGGGAAAGAAAAGCAGCAGGUUAAUACCCCGCUGUUCUGACGGUACCCAAAGAAUAAGCACCGGCUAACUUCGUG